AUCCAGCUGAAGAGUCCGAAGUAGAACGAGACGCGAGUCCUAGAU
RNAcentral lists this non-coding RNA (45 nucleotides) under Schistosoma margrebowiei. The record is from RNAcentral. Lineage: Eukaryota; Metazoa; Platyhelminthes; Trematoda; Strigeidida; Schistosomatidae.